UGAGGAAUAUUGGUCAAUGGGCGGAAGCCUGAACCAGCCAUGCCGCGUGAAGGAAGAAGGUCCUAUGGAUUUUAAACUUCUUUUGUCGGAGAGCAAUAAGGGUCUCGUGAGAUCCGAUGAGAGUAUCCGACGAAUAAGCAUCGGCUAACUCCGUGCCAGCAGCCGCGGUAAUACGGGGGAUGCGAGCGUUAUCCGGAUUCAUUGGGUUUAAAGGGUGCGUAGGCGGCUUUGCAAGUCAGCGGUGAAAGGCCCGGGCUCAACCCGGAAAGUGCCGUUGAUACUGUGAGGCUGGAAUGCGGAUGCUGUGGGAGGAAUGAGUGGUGUAGCGGUGAAAUGCAUAGAUAUCACUCAGAACACCGAUUGCGAAGGCAUCUCACAAAUCCGCAAUU
RNAcentral lists this ribosomal RNA (389 nucleotides) under uncultured bacterium. RNAcentral describes it as "bacterial SSU rRNA". It matches the Rfam family "Bacterial small subunit ribosomal RNA", at positions 355 to 741 of the family's 1533-position model. The record is from RNAcentral.